RNAcentral lists this ribosomal RNA (625 nucleotides) under Oenococcus oeni. RNAcentral's name for it is "bacterial SSU rRNA". It matches the Rfam family "Bacterial small subunit ribosomal RNA", at positions 43 to 635 of the family's 1533-position model. The record is from RNAcentral. Lineage: Bacteria; Bacillati; Bacillota; Bacilli; Lactobacillales; Lactobacillaceae.
CGUGCCUAAUACAUGCAAGUCGUACGCUAGCCGCUGAAUUGAUCCUUCGGGUGAAGUGAGGCAAUGACUAGAGUGGCGAACUGGUGAGUAACACGUAAGAAACCUGCCCUUUAGUGGGGGAUAACAUUUGGAAACAGAUGCUAAUACCGCGUAACAACAAAUCACACAUGUGAUCUGUUUGAAAGGUCCUUUUGGAUCGCUAGAGGAUGGUCUUGCGGCGUAUUAGCUUGUUGGUAGGGUAGAAGCCUACCAAGGCAAUGAUGCGUAGCCGAGUUGAGAGACUGGCCGGCCACAUUGGGACUGAGACACUGCCCAAACUCCUACGGGAGGCUGCAGUAGGGAAUUUUCCGCAAUGCACGAAAGUGUGACGGAGCGACGCCGCGUGUGUGAUGAAGGCUUUCGGGUCGUAAAGCACUGUUGUAAGGGAAGAAUAACUGAAUUCAGAGAAAGUUUUCAGCUUGACGGUACCUUACCAGAAAGGGAUGGCUAAAUACGUGCCAGCAGCCGCGGUAAUACGUAUGUCCCGAGCGUUAUCCGGAUUUAUUGGGCGUAAAGCGAGCGCAGACGGUUUAUUAAGUCUGAUGUGAAAUCCCGAGGCCCAACCUCGGAACUGCAUUGGAAACUG